UCGGCCGAAAAUUAAAUCUCAGAUCUAGUAAGAUCUGACCGUCCGAUGGGUUUCAUUUUAAUAUAUGUUGAUAUUCGUGGCGAGGGCUUCGUAUCGGUAUAUUGGUCGGCCAUUUUUGGCCGGCCGGCGGCGGUCGCCGGCGGUGGCAGUGUGUUGGAAAGAAAAGAAAAAAAAGAAAGGAAAAAGAAUAAAAGGAAAUAAAAAAUAAAAAAAAUAUAAGGAAAAAUGAAAUGAGGGCUUUUGGGGUUGGGCAUGUCGGGUUAGGUUUUAGCCUAGGAUGGCGGGGCCCGAUUGGGUUUUAGGAUGGCCCAAUGUGUUGGGCAUGACUGACCCAGUUGUGGCAGCCCUUGGGCUGGCCCACUCGGCUUGUUCUCCCUUGUCGCUUGUCCGGGAACCUAGGAUGACUUGGUUAGGUUGGUCCUACUCGGGAUAUCGAUGUCAGUUUAAUUUGGGUUCUCUUUAGGUCUCCUAGAAUUGGCGAUAUGAUUGGCGAGUCAUUUUGUUGAUCGGAUUCCUAAGGACGAAGCCCUAUUAGACGACUCGAGGCCGAGUAAGACUGACCCCGAGUGCGUUCUAGGCUAGCCUAUGAUGAUGACGUGGGUUUAUUUCGAAUCCUGAUUUCUGAUGGAUUCCUUUUAUCUGAGGCUAGAAUAUUGCAAUUUAUUCCUUUUAAACCAUUUAUUAAAUUAUUAAUUAAUUAUUAAGUUUUCAAGAAAAUUUAUCAAUUUAGUUAUAAAUAUAUAUAUGUAUGUAUUUUUGAUAAAGGAGGAAUUUAGAUAAAAAAAUAUAUUAUCUAUAUUAAAAGAAAACUAGUUUAUGGGUAAAUAUAUAUAUAUAUAUAUAUAUUAUGAUAUUGCAGCCUAUAAGUGGGUGUGUAGUUCCACUAUACACUUACGCGUAGCAAGCAAAGCGAGACAUGAUGACGUAGUCGAUGGCUUAGCUCGACGAAUUCCAUGACGCCAGAUUUGAAUAUUGCGCGGGCCAAGGCUCAGAUUCUCAGGAUUUUGUUCGAUCUUCUCCCCAGACUCGGACUUGAGUCAUCAUUUCCCAGGCGAGUAGACAGGAUAUGUUAUGAUUACCUUAUAUUAUGCACGUAUAUACUGUUUUAUUCAUAAAUAUUAUAACCUUGUAUAAAUUUUUAUAUGCAUAACUCGUACAUGAUUUUUAUAUGCGGAUCAUAGAAAAAUACUCUUAAAUGUUUCUAAUUUGCAUGAAAUAUUUUCAUCCUACUGGGAGAGACAUAAACUGAAAGAUACCCUAAUUGAUUUCUUGUUUUGAGAAUGUGAAUUAUUGAAUGAUAUGGUGUAUUUUAGGCACCACAUGAAAUGAUAAAUGAUUAUGACUUGUGCAUAAAUUAGGGUAUUAUUUGCAUUAUUAUUAGAGGACUAUCUAGUAGAUUCCCUGGUGACUCACAGCAGGAAAAGAUCAUGGUACUGUGAGGCUUGGCAUGCCAAGGCCAUGAGAGACACGGAUAGUAUGUUUCAGCACUGCUAUCACGUGGGCCUUUAUGAUGAUAUUGUGUGAUGAUGAUGUAUGUGCCGAUAUAUAUACUUGUGUGCAUGUGUAUAUAGGCGUUAGGCCAGUUUCUACUAGUGUGUCAUCAGAAUCAGUGCAUGCAUCUCAUACAAAAGUAUAGGGGACUUGGGUGGUUAGGGAACAACUUAUGGGGGUUGUCUUUAAGCACCUAUUUUUCCUACACUAUGUUUUUCUUUGAAAUCUCAAAUUAUUUAACUUAUGGUUUAUAAUUCCACUGUUUAUACUGUUAUUACGUUAUUAUAC
Diospyros lotus (date-plum) is the source of this 1779-nucleotide long non-coding RNA. RefSeq lists it as uncharacterized. The transcript has 2 exons. The record is from RefSeq and is a predicted model, not a curated record. NCBI's taxonomy places the organism in Eukaryota, Viridiplantae, Streptophyta, Magnoliopsida, Ericales, Ebenaceae.